GACGAACGCUGGCGGCGUGCCUAAUACAUGCAAGUAGAACGCUGAAGGAGGAGCUUGCUUCUCUGGAUGAGUUGCGAACGGGUGAGUAACGCGUAGGUAACCUGCCUGGUAGCGGGGGAUAACUAUUGGAAACGAUAGCUAAUACCGCAUAAUAGUAGAUGUUGCAUGACAUUUGCUUAAAAGGUGCAAUUGCAUCACUACCAGAUGGACCUGCGUUGUAUUAGCUAGUUGGUGAGGUAACGGCUCACCAAGGCAACGAUACAUAGCCGACCUGAGAGGGUGAUCGGCCACACUGGGACUGAGACACGGCCCAGACUCCUACGGGAGGCAGCAGUAGGGAAUCCUCGGCAAUGGGGGGAACCCUGACCGAGCAACGCCGCGUGAGUGAAGAAGGUUUUCGGAUCGUAAAGCUCUGUUGUAAGAGAAGAACGAGUGUGAGAGUGGAAAGUUCACACUG
This 457-nucleotide ribosomal RNA is filed under the name Streptococcus mitis. RNAcentral's name for it is "bacterial SSU rRNA". It matches the Rfam family "Bacterial small subunit ribosomal RNA", at positions 28 to 471 of the family's 1533-position model. The record is from RNAcentral. Lineage: Bacteria; Bacillati; Bacillota; Bacilli; Lactobacillales; Streptococcaceae.